Molecule: long non-coding RNA, 1186 nt
Filed under: Lonchura striata (white-rumped munia)
Lineage: Eukaryota; Metazoa; Chordata; Aves; Passeriformes; Estrildidae
Description: domestica (Bengalese finch) lncRNA (ENSLSDG00000006600.1)
Source: RNAcentral
AGGAGGAGUUAAGAGGAGGAGAAGGAGAGGGAGAAGGAGAAGGAGGAGGAGGAAGGAGAAGGCGAGGGAGGAAGAGGAGGAGAAGGAGAAGGAAGGAGAGGAAGGAGAAGACAGGAGGAAGAAAAGGAGAAGGAAGAGAAGGAGAUGGAGACAGAGGAAGAGAAGGAGGAGAGGGAGGAGCAAAAGGUGGAGAAGGAAAGAGAAGGAGAGGGAGAAGGAGAAGGAGGAGACAGAGGAGAGGAGGAGAAGGAGACGGAGAAGGAGAAGAGGAGAAGAAGGAAGGAGUGGGAGAAGGAGAAGACAGGAGGAGGAAAAGGAGAAGGAGAUGGAGAUGGAGGAAGAGGAGGAGAAGGAGAGGGAGGAGGAAAAGGUGGAGAAGGACAGGGAAAGAGAAGGAGAAGAGGAGAAGGAGAAGCAAGGAGAAGGAAGGAGAAGGCGAGGGAGGAAGAGGAGAAGGAGAAGAAGGAGAGGAAGAAGGAGAAGGAAGGAGAGGAUAAAGGAGAAGACAAAGGAGGAGGAAAAGGAGAGGGAGGAGGAGAAGGAGAGGGAGGAAGAGGAGAAGAAGGAGAAGGGAAGAAAAGGAAGGAGUGGGAGAAGGAGGAGACAGGAGAGGAGGAAAAGGAGAAGGAGAAGAGAAGAAGGAAAGGAGUGGGAGAAGGAGAAAACAAGAGGAGGAAAAGGAGGACGAGAAGGAGACGGAGGAAGAGGAGGAGGAGAGGGAGGAGGAAAAGGUGAAGAAGGAGAAGGAAAGAGAAGGAGAGGGAGGAGGAGGAGAAGAGGAGAAGGAGAAGGAAGGAGAGGAAGAAGAAGACAAAGGAGGAGGAAAAGGAGAAGGAGGAGAAGGAGACGGAGGAAGAGGAGGAAAAGGAGAGGGAGGAGGAAAAGGUGGAGAAGGAGAAGGAAAGAGAAGGAGAGGGAGAAGGAGAAAGAGGAGACAGAGGUCGAGGAAAAGGAGGAGAGGGAAGAGCAGAAGAAAAAGUUGGAGGUUGUUGUUGUCACCGUGGGUCUCCUUCCCCUCCCCACAGUGACAGCAGCACUGGAGCUUUUCCCAGCAGCCUGGGAGCUGUGAUCACACUCCCACUGGGAAUGCCAUCCUUGCAGGAGAUGGGAAUGUGUCAUUCCCGUGAAAAAGUGGAUUUUGACAACAUUUACAGCUCCUGCCCCGGAGUCUGUAUUUAACAGUGUC